This 439-nucleotide ribosomal RNA is filed under the name uncultured bacterium. Its description in RNAcentral is "partial 16S ribosomal RNA". It matches the Rfam family "Bacterial small subunit ribosomal RNA", at positions 339 to 795 of the family's 1533-position model. The record is from RNAcentral.
CUACGGGAGGCUCCAGUGGGGAAUAUUGCACAAUGGAGGAAACUCUGAUGCAGCAACGCCGCGUGGAGGAUGACACUUUUCGGAGCGUAAACUCCUUUUAUAUAGGAAGAAGAUGACGGUACUAUAUGAAUAAGCGCCGGCUAACUCCGUGCCAGCAGCCGCGGUAAUACGGAGGGCGCAAGCGUUACUCGGAAUCACUGGGCGUAGAGAGCGUGUAGGCGGAUUAAAAAGUCAGAAGUGAAAUCCUAUAGCUUAACUAUAGAACUGCUUCUGAAACUCUUAAUCUAGAAUAUGGGAGAGGUAGAUGGAAUUCCUGGUGUAGGGGUAAUAUCCGUAGAGAUCAGAAGGAAUACCGAUUGCGAAGGCGAUCUACUAGAACAUUAUUGACGCUGAGACGCGAAAGCGUGGGGAGCAAACAGGAUUAGAUACCCGUGUAGUC